RNAcentral lists this ribosomal RNA (466 nucleotides) under uncultured bacterium. RNAcentral's name for it is "partial 16S ribosomal RNA". It matches the Rfam family "Bacterial small subunit ribosomal RNA", at positions 28 to 507 of the family's 1533-position model. The record is from RNAcentral.
GAUGAACGCUGGCGGCGUGCUUAACACAUGCAAGUCGAACGGAAAGGCUCCUGCUUGCAGGGGUACUCGAGUGGCGAACGGGUGAGUAACACGUGGGUGAUCUGCCCUGCACUUCGGGAUAAGCCUGGGAAACUGGGUCUAAUACCGGAUAGGACGAUGGUUUGGAUGCCAUUGUGGAAAGUUUUUUCGGUGUGGGAUGAGCUCGCGGCCUAUCAGCUUGUUGGUGGGGUAAUGGCCUACCAAGGCGUCGACGGGUAGCCGGCCUGAGAGGGUGUACGGCCAAAUUGGGACUGAGAUACGGCCCAGACUCCUACGGGAGGCAGCAGUGGGGAAUAUUGCACAAUGGGCGCAAGCCUGAUGCAGCGACGCCGCGUGGGGGAUGACGGCCUUCGGGUUGUAAACUCCUUUCGCUAGGGACGAAGCGCAAGUGACGGUACCUGGAGAAGAAGCACCGGCUAACUACGUG